RNAcentral lists this ribosomal RNA (1263 nucleotides) under Tenebrionoidea sp. 22 KM-2017. Its description in RNAcentral is "16S ribosomal RNA". The stretch from base 1029 to 1187 matches the Rfam family "Archaeal large subunit ribosomal RNA", at positions 2542 to 2701 of the family's 2987-position model. The record is from RNAcentral. Lineage: Eukaryota; Metazoa; Arthropoda; Insecta; Coleoptera.
AUAAAAAUUUUUAUUUAUAUUUGUUUAAUUUUUUAUUAUUUAAUUAAAAUAUUAAAAUUUUUAUUAUUUUAUAAGAAAAAAUUAUUUUUAUUAUAGUAAAUUAGUAUUGUGAAAGAAUAAAUAAUUAUUAUAAAAAGAAAUUUUUAUUUAUUGUACCUUUUGUAUCAGGGUUUAUUAAAAAAAAAAAGUAUUUUUAAAUCUCGAAUUUAAAAGAGCUAAAUUAAAGUUAAUUUUAUUGUUAAAUAAAUAUUUAAAAUUUUAAUUUUGUAAUAAAAUGUUAUUCGUUUUUAAAUAUAUCUAGUUUUUUAAGAAAAAAAUUUAAUUUGAUAAUUAUAAAAUAUUAUUUUGUUUUAAAAAUUUAGUUUUUUUAAUUAUUUAUUUUAUUAGGGAUAAGCUUAAUUUAUAGUUUAUAAUUUAUUGAUAAUUUAAUAAGAUAUAGAAUUAGAAUUUUUCAUUUAUAAAAAUAUGUUGUAAUUAAUUUUUUAUUUAUUUUAUUUAUAUAAAAUUUAACUUAUUAUUAAAAUAUUGAUUAAAAUUUUAAAAAUUAAGAAAAUAUGAUUAAAUUAGUAUAAUAAAUUUUAAAUUUGUGUAUAGUUAAAUUGAAGUUAAGGAAUUCGGCAAAUAUAGAUUUUACCUGUUUAUUAAAAACAUGGCUUUUUGAAAAUAAUUUAAAGUUAGGCCUGCCCAAUGAAAAUUUAAUGGCUGCAGUAUUUUGACUGUACAAAGGUAGCAUAAUCAUUAGUUUUUUAAUUGAGAACUGGAAUGAAAGGUUUGAUAAAAAUUUUACUGUCUUAAUUUUAUUAAAAAAUUUUAUUUUUAAGUUAAAAAGCUUAAAUUUUUUAAGAAGACGAGAAGACCCUUUAGAGUUUAACUAAAUAAUUAAAUAAUUAUAUAUGUAAUUUUUAUUUUAUUUAUAAAUUUAGUUUGAUUGGGGUGAUUUAAAAAUUUAAAAAACUUUUUAUUAAAUUUACAUUAAUAAAUGAUUAAUUGAUCCAAUAAUUUUGAUUAAAAGAAUAAAUUACCUUAGGGAUAACAGCGUAAUUUUUUUUGAAAGUUCUUAUUGAAAAAAAAGAUUGCGACCUCGAUGUUGGAUUAAAAUUUAAUUAAGGUGUAGAAGCUUUAAGAUUAAGUCUGUUCGACUUUUAAAAUUUUACAUGAUCUGAGUUUAAACCGGUGUGAGCCAGGUUGGUUUCUAUCUUUUAAAAAUUAAAUAUUUUAGUACGAAAGGACCAAAUAUUUAAAUUUAAUUUUAAAUAAUGAAUU